AUUGAACGCUGGCGGCAGGCUUAACACAUGCAAGUCGAGCGGAGAUGAGGUGCUUGCACCUUAUCUUAGCGGCGGACGGGUGAGUAAUGCUUAGGAAUCUGCCUAUUAGUGGGGGACAACAUUCCGAAAGGAAUGCUAAUACCGCAUACGUCCUACGGGAGAAAGCAGGGGAUCUUCGGACCUUGCGCUAAUAGAUGAGCCUAAGUCGGAUUAGCUAGUUGGUGGGGUAAAGGCCUACCAAGGCGACGAUCUGUAGCGGGUCUGAGAGGAUGAUCCGCCACACUGGGACUGAGACACGGCCCAGACUCCUACGGGAGGCAGCAGUGGGGAAUAUUGGACAAUGGGGGGAACCCUGAUCCAGCCAUGCCGCGUGUGUGAAGAAGGCCUUAUGGUUGUAAAGCACUUUAAGCGAGGAGGAGGCUACUGAGACUAAUACUCUUGGAUAGUGGACGUUACUCGCAGAAUAAGCACCGGCUAACUCCGUGCCAGCCGCCGCGGUAA
This 501-nucleotide ribosomal RNA is filed under the name uncultured Pseudomonadales bacterium. RNAcentral describes it as "bacterial SSU rRNA". It matches the Rfam family "Bacterial small subunit ribosomal RNA", at positions 30 to 523 of the family's 1533-position model. Lineage: Bacteria; Pseudomonadati; Pseudomonadota; Gammaproteobacteria; Pseudomonadales. The record is from RNAcentral.